UAGCAAGCAUGUACUCUGUAGUU
Molecule: unclassified non-coding RNA, 23 nt
Filed under: Mus musculus (house mouse)
Lineage: Eukaryota; Metazoa; Chordata; Mammalia; Rodentia; Muridae
Description: oocyte_clustered_small_RNA12155
Source: RNAcentral